CCUACGGGGGGCAGCAGUUGGGAAUCUUGCACAAUGGGGGAAACCCUGAUGCAGCGACGCCGCGUGGAGGAAGAAGGGUCUAGGCUCGUAAACUCCUUUUUCAGGGAAAGACUUAGGACGGUACCCUGAGAAUAAGCUCCGGCUAACUACGUGCCAGCAGCCGCGGUAAGACGUAGGGAGCGAGCGUUGUCCGGAUUUACGGGGCGUAAAGAGCACGUAGGCGGUCUGUUAAGUGAGAAGUGACAUCUCCAGCGCUCCACGCGGCAACGGCUUUUCAUACUGGCAGCCUUGAGGGCUGCAGAGGCAAGUAGAAUUCCUGGUGUACCGGUGACAUGGGUUGAUAUCAGGAGGAAUACCAAUGGCGACGGCAGCUUGCUGGGCAUCAUCUGACGCUGAGGUGCGAAAGCGUGGGUCGCAAACAGGAUUAGAUACCCUAGUAGUC
RNAcentral lists this ribosomal RNA (442 nucleotides) under uncultured bacterium. Its description in RNAcentral is "partial 16S ribosomal RNA". It matches the Rfam family "Bacterial small subunit ribosomal RNA", at positions 338 to 795 of the family's 1533-position model. The record is from RNAcentral.